RNAcentral lists this ribosomal RNA (489 nucleotides) under uncultured bacterium. RNAcentral's name for it is "partial 16S ribosomal RNA". It matches the Rfam family "Bacterial small subunit ribosomal RNA", at positions 30 to 507 of the family's 1533-position model. The record is from RNAcentral.
UUGAACGCUGGCGGCAGGCCUAACACCUGCAAGUCGAACGGUAACAGGAAGAAGCUUGCUUCUUUGCUGACGAGUGGCGGACGGGUGAGUAAUGUCUGGGAAACUGCCUGAUGGAGGGGGAUAACUACUGGAAACGGUAGCUAAUACCGCAUAACGUCGCAAGACCAAAGAGGGGGACCUUCGGGCCUCUUGCCAUCGGAUGUGCCCAGAUGGGAUUAGCUAGUAGGUGGGGUAACGGCUCACCUAGGCGACGAUCCCUAGCUGGUCUGAGAGGAUGACCAGCCACACUGGAACUGAGACACGGUCCAGACUCCUACGGGAGGCAGCAGUGGGGAAUAUUGCACAAUGGGCGCAAGCCUGAUGCAGCCAUGCCGCGUGUAUGAAGAAGACCUUCGGGUUGUAAAGUACUUUCAGCGGGGAGGAAGGGAGUAAAGUUAAUACCUUUGCUCAUUGACGUUACCCGCAGAAGAAGCACCGGCUAACUCCGUG